GGCAGGCAGAAGCAGGAGACCUGAGCUCUCCCCCGGGGCCUGUUGCUUGGUGACAUUCCUGCCUUGUUACAGCCCCUGGUCCCCCAAGAGCAUGAGUGGGAACAGAUUCUGCUGGGGGAUUACAGAGGCCUGGUCAGGAGCCUUCCUGCAAUGGGAUGAUGUAAGCUGGGACAGUCCCUCAAGGACAUCGCAGGAAGUGGGAGAGUUGGUGUCGUUGGGGCCCCCAUUUCCCUAGGGUACUGCGGAGGAGGGAGAACACUGAAUUACUGUUAAGACGCUGUUGAUAAGAUUCCAUGCACCAGGGAUGGAACCAGCAAGGCGGUUCUCUGCCACUAGGCUCCACACCCUGAUCAGAUCCACACAUUACGCAGUUUUAUGGUACCUGCUUUUUACAAUCGCCUUUUAUUUAUAAGAAG
Long non-coding RNA from Alexandromys fortis (reed vole), 416 nucleotides. RefSeq lists it as uncharacterized. The transcript has 3 exons. The record is from RefSeq and is a predicted model, not a curated record. NCBI's taxonomy places the organism in Eukaryota, Metazoa, Chordata, Mammalia, Rodentia, Cricetidae.